UGCCUAACUGUCCGGUCCGUGACAGAGGGAUCUUGUUAUCUGUGGCUGGAUAGCAUUUGGACAUGACGAAUGUACAUGCUAUGCCAAAGACCAGCCUAUGAUCACAGGUGAUGCAGUGAUUGGUGAUGGCUAUGGUUUUCUUCCCACUGAACUAAACAUGCUAAAACGGAAAAGAAGACAAGAGGACGUGUCAUCCAUGGCAGUGUGUCAUUCUCCCGCUGAUGGUCCACUUUGCAGAGAAAUAUGAGGGGCUCAUUGUACUGGUUAAUGUCUUCCCAGUGGUGAUGUAGAGCUGAUGUGGAGGCAACAGUGCUGCUUCCUUCGUCCUUCCUUUCUUCAAGACCUGCGUUUUUUGUCUUUUGCCAAACUUUAGGCAGUAUCUUAUACAGUAGAAACUAAGCCUAACACUUGAAGCCCCGUAGGCGUUGCUUGACUGACACCAAUCUGACGAGCUUGCUCAGCCGGUGGAAUCUCUUGUAUACAUGAAUAAGCAAACUGGACGUGUUCUUUCUGAACAAUAUUAA
Molecule: long non-coding RNA, 524 nt
Organism: Engraulis encrasicolus (European anchovy)
Lineage: Eukaryota; Metazoa; Chordata; Actinopteri; Clupeiformes; Engraulidae
Exons: 3
Source: RefSeq, a predicted model, not a curated record